Daphnia carinata is the source of this 325-nucleotide long non-coding RNA. RefSeq lists it as uncharacterized. The record is from RefSeq and is a predicted model, not a curated record. The transcript has 4 exons. Lineage: Eukaryota; Metazoa; Arthropoda; Branchiopoda; Diplostraca; Daphniidae.
AAUUUAAACAGGUUCUAAGUGGCAAAACAACCAAUGGUGAUGAUAGCUUAUUUGCCUAGUUGCAAAUGCUAACAAGCUCAUCUUGGAAGGCAUACCGCCAAUAUCUUCGUGUUUUACAGGACUAAGCAGGAUUACAGGCAACAUGCAGGGAAGUGGCAAGACAUUUAAAUUCUCAACAAAAUAGUAGGUUUCAAUGUUCAUGGGCAAGUCACUGGUAAAAAACUAAAGUAAGGCACAAUUCAGAAUCUUAGUUUUUCUGAGUGACACAUUCGUUCACAGUAAUAUUAAAGUAGAGUAAUGUUUACUUUCACAUUUUAUACCAGAU